Molecule: long non-coding RNA, 1009 nt
Organism: Ochotona princeps (American pika)
Lineage: Eukaryota; Metazoa; Chordata; Mammalia; Lagomorpha; Ochotonidae
Exons: 2
Source: RefSeq, a predicted model, not a curated record
GGGGGAGAGUCGGUAGGCUCCAGUGGGGCUGGGGUGUUUCUCUUUCGCGAGCCGCUAGCUGCCUUAGCCGAGCGCAGCUGGAAGGAAGGCAUGGGGCUGAAAGCUGAGAAUGAGGGGCAACAGGUGUCUGUGGUCUGGGUGGAGGAGGCAGGCAAGGCAGCAGUUUUGGGCGUCCCUCAGGCAGGGAAGACGCCCACUUGGUUGGUACUACCGCUAACUGAACACGCUGAGUACAUCAGGAACUUAGUGUCUUAAUGUUGAAUAUGCGCCUGGGACAUCUCAAAGUGUGGUUAACGCCUGCUUCUGAAAGGAGGGGGAACCGAACCCUGGAAAUUACCAUUUACUCUAAUGGGGCAGGCAACCUGAGCUUGACCAAGGCCUUUUGCUCAAGCCUGGCUUUUGGGCUGUAAUUUGGUUUGCAAACUGGCCUAGGAGCCUUGGAGUCCCCCAGUCAGGGCACCUGGUAGCUCUGGCCCAGCUUUUGUCCUCCUUUGGCAGAGGAGUUCCUCUUUGGCUGUUGGCCUGGUUCUUUCCAAGAUGGACAGAGUCUCUACUUUCAGUUUUGAAAAAGUGGAGAUGUAUGGGUCAGCAGGGUUGUAAACCCAGUGAUGACUGUAAUCCAAGAUGUUUAUCAAGACUGAGGGUACCAAGGUCUUGGGCACAGUCUAAAUACCUAACAAAGCACUGGCUUGGCUUUUCCUGCCAAAAGUUCUGAUCAUGCAGGCCUGGUGCGGUGGCCUAGCAGCUGAAGUCCUUGCCUUGAAUGUACUGAGAUCCCAUAUGGGCGUCGGUUCUAAUCCUGGCACCCCUGCUUCCCAUCUAGUUCACAGCUUGUGCCCCAGGAAAGCAGUCGAGGACGGCCCAAAGCCUUGGGACCCUGCACUCACAUGGGAGACCCGGAAGAGGCUCUGGGUUCUUGGCUCCUGGCUUCUGAUUGGCUCAGCUCUCUCUCUCUCCUCCCCUCUGUAAAUCUGACUUUCCAAUAAAAAUAAAUAAAUCUUGUAAAAAA